GAUGAACGCUGGCGGCGUGCUUAACACAUGCAAGUCGAACGAAGCACUUUAUUUGAUUUCCUUCGGGACUGAUUAUUUUGUGACUGAGUGGCGGACGGGUGAGUAACGCGUGGGUAACCUGCCUUGUACAGGGGGAUAACAGUUGGAAACGGCUGCUAAUACCGCAUAAGCGCACAGCAUCGCAUGAUGCAGUGUGAAAAACUCCGGUGGUAUAAGAUGGACCCGCGUUGGAUUAGCUAGUUGGUGAGGUAACGGCCCACCAAGGCGACGAUCCAUAGCCGACCUGAGAGGGUGACCGAACACAUUGGGACUGAGACACGGCCCAAACUCCUACGGGAGGCAGCAGUGGGGAAUAUUGCACAAUGGGCGAAAGCCUGAUGCAGCGACGCCGCGUGAGCGAAGAAGUAUUUCGGUAUGUAAAGCUCUAUCAGCAGGGAAGAUAAUGACGGUACCUGACUAAGAAGCACCGGCUAAAUACGUG
Molecule: ribosomal RNA, 481 nt
Filed under: uncultured bacterium
Lineage: Bacteria
Description: partial 16S ribosomal RNA
Rfam family: Bacterial small subunit ribosomal RNA
Source: RNAcentral